GCUGGUGGAACGCACCCCUCGCCAAGUCUUCACCCAAAUGAGACGAGCGGCGUAACCUUGGUGCAUGAAGGGAGUGUCCCCCCCUCCGCACGCCAACCCCUGAGGCAGUUCUGAUCAGCUCGCGGCCCGGAGCAGACGUGCGCGUACCGUGGGGAGCCUUCAAGUUUUGUCUCUGAUUCCUCACGACUGGAUUCUUCUCCGUUUCCAUAUGCCGUGGUAACGCGGGCCUGACGGCCGGAAACUCCCACCCGCCCCGACACGUGGCUGGGUAAUCCCCGCGCCGACGGGGCAGAUAGCCGGGGGCUACAUAAUCGGCGCGCGUCCGACCAGAGCUACUCCCGUCCGUCAUGUCCGGCCGACUCUUGCUGCUUCUGUGCGUGCUGGCGGCGGGGACAGUGGCGGCUGCGGGGGCGGCGACCACCAACAAGACGCCUCACUGCCCGCCGCUGGACCCCAACACGGCCGACUGUGCGCCGAGCUGUGCUUCGACUGCACGGAGAACCAGCUGUGCUGCAGCAACGGCUGUGGUCACGUGUGCAAGGGCCCCGUGUACUACUAGCCGGCAGCUGGCUGCUGCAUGGUGGUGAUGACUGCUUGAAAAAUGCUUCUGGAAUAACAACUGUAUGGAGAGCAAUUACUUGAAUUAUGAACAUUAUGAAAUUAUUUUCAAAUUAAGGGCAGAAUAUUGAUGUUACAAUAAAAUUUAUCAAAAUUUU
Bacillus rossius redtenbacheri is the source of this 716-nucleotide long non-coding RNA. RefSeq lists it as uncharacterized. The record is from RefSeq and is a predicted model, not a curated record. The transcript has 3 exons. Lineage: Eukaryota; Metazoa; Arthropoda; Insecta; Phasmatodea; Bacillidae.